Acipenser ruthenus (sterlet) is the source of this 1093-nucleotide long non-coding RNA. RefSeq lists it as uncharacterized. Lineage: Eukaryota; Metazoa; Chordata; Actinopteri; Acipenseriformes; Acipenseridae. The record is from RefSeq and is a predicted model, not a curated record. The transcript has 3 exons.
GUUUUGAGGCAGAUAGACUUUUUCUUACAUUUUAUUACAGAACGCCCAAGGUUACAUCAGUCAAAAUCAAGACUGGACAACAAAGCCUCCAUAGCAAAGUCUGCAAAACAACUGGACUGUCUGAGCUAAUGAGGGGACCAUGUUAUACCACUAACAAAACCUGACAAAAAUAACCACAGCCAAUACUUUAAGCCCAGCACAGAAACCAGGACCAGAGGACACACAGUUGGAAAUGAAGCGGAGACAGACUUAGGACAGAAGUUUUUUUUUUAGAGCUCCAAAGAAUCCUCAGCCCUUUCAGUUUUGUAAACAAAUGAACGCGACCUUAGCCACAAGGCAUGCUGGGAAAGAACCGCCAACAUCCCUCAAACUCGCAUUGUGUGGAAACUGAGUCUUUUCCCUCGACUAGACUAUCGAUGGGUCGACGGGGGUUCAGGAGGAAUGGGGGAGGACCCGGAUCAGUUGGGACUGGCGCUCAUGGAAACGAGGUAUUAGAAAAAGGAAUUGGGAUCCCGAUCCCAGUGCGUUAUCCAGUAGAAAUCCUAGCAUAAACAUGAGCACUGCCAGCAACACAAUGGAUUUUGAACUCAGUUUGACACGGCCACACACCAUUGCAUUGCCAUUGUCCUAGUCACAUUAUUUUUUAUGAAUUGAAGAUGGUAUUUUUCCAAAUGUUCUUUGCUUGAAAGCACUAAAAUACAAUAGAACACAAAGAAAAUUGUCACCGCCACAGAGAUUUAAAAAAAAGCCAUCAAACUGACAAUUUCUGUGCGUCUUGGCCUUUCAGUGGUUGCCAUUACCUUUCUCCGCCUGUUCUUUUGUAAUCUAAAAGUCUGUCAGGGUUUGAAGUAUCUGGAAUGACCCUGCAUUGAAAUGCAGCACGGAAAGGCGGCUGGCUUUCUCAUAAGCCACAGAUCGUCUGGGAGUGAUAGUGCUGUUCUGUUAAUGCAGAUUGCUGUAAGCAAAAAGCUCAGAGGAUUACUUUGUAGCAAUUUGUUUUUGCAUUUAAGGGUCUUUUGUUUCCUCUUCUGCACAUCUUUGGUGUCAUUUUUUUGUUUGUUUUAAGUGUGUAGAAAAAAAAUACUGAAAAUUA